UAUAAUUUUUUCAAUUCUUAUCAAAAUGUAUACAAUUAGAUAUAAAAACAAAGAUAUGAAAAAGACAAGGCACCUGCAACACCCAGUAAUAUGUUACGAAUGUAUAUUUGUUAAUGAAAGUUUUGUGUUUUUUAUUGAAAUUCUGGAUUUUUAUUUUCAAUUUUUUAUAUUCUAACAGACGAUCAUUAAAUAUGAUAGAUAAACAAGUAGAAAAGAAUAUAGUAAUACAUAAUACUCUCCUCAUAUGUAAUGCUCUCUUUAAACGUAAAUCAAAUUGUUUAAACUGGAUAUGAUGAUUAAAUGUUGUAUCGGCAUGGUUUUAUCUGACUACUUUGCUUUUUCAAUUUGGUUGCCAGCUUCAACCUAAUUCUUGAUUUAGAACUAUGAUUUUGAACUGAAACAUUUCCGUGUUGAAUAAAAUACUAUUUAUUCUUAACUGUAUUUUUUUUGAGGCUUCAGUUAUCAAACUUUGGUGGUAAUUUUAGUUAUGCCACUGUGAAAGCGUCGAUUGUUAAGUAGACAUAAAAAGUUUGAAGUAUGCACAAAGCCUGAAAGUGUCAAAUAUGGAACCUAAAAAAACCUGCCUUUGCCACUGACUAUAUAAAGGUUUUUUAAGGUUUGUUUGUUAAGCGUCAAGUCAGGUUAUCUUGCUACUGGUACCAUGUAGUACAUCCUGCUUAAGCAGGUUGUACGCCAUCCAUACAACGUUUCGGCAUCUGUUUGUAAAAUAUUGCUGCAAAUCUUUUUGAGGGAGCUAUUACUACGGAGAACCAUCUAAACCAUACAAGUGUGGAAACAUGGAUGUAAAUCUUAAACACAUUUGUGAUAUAUAAUUGUAGAAUGUUAUAUGUUGUAAGUUUGGAAAUUAUAUUCUGCUAAAAAAACUUUUUAAAUGUAUUUUAGCAGAACAUACCUGGCCCGCAUUUGAUCCUGAAAAACUUUCUUUUUGGACCAAAUGCUGGCUGGGUAAUUUGGACUUGUAAAUGAACUUAUAUUCAUAAUUUUUAAACUGCUUAUGAUCUGAUCUGAUUUUAUUUUUGUCAUUUGUUUAUUUAGAUUAAUGUAAAAUAAACUGAUGAGUUUAUUUAACUUAGCUGGUAAAAAAAAGAGUUUUCGUGAAACAAAUUUAAUGAAGACAAUUAUAGGUAUACCUGUUAAUGUAAUAUAUUUUGUAUUGUAUUUUGUAUGCUUAAUUUUGACGAAUUUUUAAUUACUGCAAACUCACACUCGCACAAAAAUCAACUGUGAACUCUUAUAUAAUCAGUUGCAAAAGUUGACUUUGAAAAUUUUGAAUAAGAUAUUAUAGCUUAUUUAUUAGACUGUGUUUUUAGAAUGAAGUUCAUUCAUUUGCUAGCAACAUUUUUAAACGUGGUCCAGAUCAAAAAAUGUGGUGCUAGAAAUUGUCGAUAGUGGAAGUGAUAGAUGCAUCUAACCUAAUUUGUAAUUAAUUUCUGUAAAUAAAUUUCACUUUACUAA
Non-coding RNA from Hydra vulgaris (swiftwater hydra), 1476 nucleotides. The record is from RefSeq and is a predicted model, not a curated record. NCBI's taxonomy places the organism in Eukaryota, Metazoa, Cnidaria, Hydrozoa, Anthoathecata, Hydridae.